GACGAACGCUGGCGGCGUGCUUAACACAUGCAAGUCGAACGGAAAGGCCCUGCUUUUGUGGGGUGCUCGAGUGGCGAACGGGUGAGUAACACGUGAGUAACCUGCCCUUGACUUUGGGAUAACUUCACGAAACUGGGGCUAAUACCGGAUAGGAGCUCCUGCUGCAUGGUGGGGGUUGGAAAGUUUCGGCGGUUGGGGAUGGACUCGCGGCUUAUCAGCUUGUUGGUGGGGUAGUGGCUUACCAAGGCUUUGACGGGUAGCCGGCCUGAGAGGGUGACCGGCCACAUUGGGACUGAGAUACGGCCCAGACUCCUACGGGAGGCAGCAGUGGGGAAUAUUGCACAAUGGGCGGAAGCCUGAUGCAGCAACGCCGCGUGCGGGAUGACGGCCUUCGGGUUGUAAACCGCUUUCGCCUGUGGCGAAGCGUGAGUGACGGUAAUGGGUAAAGAAGCACCGGCUAACUACGUG
Molecule: ribosomal RNA, 468 nt
Filed under: uncultured bacterium
Lineage: Bacteria
Description: partial 16S ribosomal RNA
Rfam family: Bacterial small subunit ribosomal RNA
Source: RNAcentral